AUCGCUUCUCGGCCUUUUGGCUAAGAUCAAAGUGUAGUAGCGUACUUUCCUUUCUUUUUAGGUUUACUGGUGGAUAUCGUGAUGGAGUAGACUCCUCGUUCCGAGGGCGGAGCCAAAGUGGACUUUGGGAAGUUUUUGCUUUUACUUUUC
This 150-nucleotide small nuclear RNA is filed under the name Stegodyphus mimosarum. RNAcentral describes it as "U2 spliceosomal RNA". Lineage: Eukaryota; Metazoa; Arthropoda; Arachnida; Araneae; Eresidae. The record is from RNAcentral.